Long non-coding RNA from Mytilus californianus (California mussel), 654 nucleotides. RefSeq lists it as uncharacterized. The record is from RefSeq and is a predicted model, not a curated record. The transcript is spliced from 3 exons. Lineage: Eukaryota; Metazoa; Mollusca; Bivalvia; Mytilida; Mytilidae.
AACAGAACAAAUAAAACAAAGAUGAAGACUUCAAGAAUAUUCUCUGUUAUUGUUGCAAUUGGUGUGAUUUUCGUUUGCGGCAUUAAAGCUGAUGGACUUUAUGAUAAUUAUUUGGGCAAUGUCCAUACAGUACCUUUGGCAUACCCAGUACCAUAUUCCAUAAGUGCUCCACAUCAAGGACUCGGAAGUGUUGGAGGAAUAUCAAAUUUACAGUCAGACCAGUCUCUUCUAAUUUUCUUAUUUUUGUUACCAGUUCUCUUCAAACUUCUCAACAACGACUCAUCCUAAUAGACAGACGGCUAGGCUCGUACAAAAUCACAUUUUAAAACCAUUUCAUCAGACUAGUUUGUAAUAGACUUAAAAAUCUGAGUAAAUUAUGUUUUUGAAAUAACUGUGAAGUGAUGUUAAAAAUGCUUCCUGGAUGUUCUGAUUAAGUAGAUUGAAAGAGCUGCAGUUAGUGAUUGACAUGGUAGUUUUAAGUGACAAAAUGGUUCCAGAAGUGUAUAGAAGGAAGUAGUACAGGGUAGUGAGACUGACAUUACAAUAUGGUCAAACUAAGUCAUGUCUUAAAUAAUAAAUGCUGAUUCGACAAAAAUGUUUUCUUCAUUAUCAAUCCGUAGUAUUUAUUCAUAACAAAUUAAAGUGUAAAUAUCA